UCCCCUUUUUGUUGAGCCGCCGAAGUAGACGUCAUGCGUGGAUUUCGGGCACCGGCGCUCAUUCGGUGUGGAGUUGCUCACGGACGGAGAAGGGUGACAAUAGUCACUCGUGGAACGUGGAGGAAAUUGUGCUCGAUUGGACGAUCGGCACAUCAUCCAGGGACCCCAAAAUGCAGGCAUGUGGUGGGGCACUUCUCGCACAGACAACUUGGAUGGCGCGAAGGGCCCUCACAGUUGUCAUCCGGGAUUGCACUGAAGAUGAAAAUGGAGACCUGACAGAGCUCUGAUCCAGGUGGUAAUAUGGUGGUGAUGCAAUACAGUGAAUCCCAGUUUAUCGCGAGGGAGACGUUCCAUACCCACACGGAAUUUGCGUGCAUGAGUCAUAACCCGCUCCUCCUCUGUGGUUGGAGCCACAUCCUGUUCAGCGCCGCCGUCCCGCUUGCCUCGGAGAACAUUCAACGCUGUCGGUGAGUUUGGUAUGGAUCGCAUCGAAACCAUCGACCGUUGACUGUGCCCUGAGGUUUGCCCCGACAACGUCAGCAAAGAGCGAAGAAUGCCCUCCGGCCGUAACGGGCGGGCGAGUGGGCGCAUGCAAAUCCUGAAGCACGCACACCCUCUGCACCCCGAGCCCCCACCCUCCACCCCCCCGCACACACACAAGAGUCACCCUGUGGUUCCGACCUAAAAGGUCACAAUCAACAUUCAUUGCUGUCGCUGGGUUGGACUGUGUAGAAAAGCUCACUGAACAAUGAGUGCAACUGUGGCCCAGAUCUGCCUUGACUCCAGUCUCGGCCAAUCUUCCCAACCGGAUGUGAAAGGCUGUGAUUUCUUUCUUCAUUACCUUCUCGUUUUUCACUUCUGUAUUCUUCGACCGUGAGUCUCGGGGAGCAGGAGAAAUAGCGACACAGAUAGACUUCUGGCUGCUCGCUUGUCCUCAUCCACCUCUCAUCUAAUUGGCGGUUCUGUGUGCAGCAAGGGGGAAGGAAGCGGAGUGAAUGUGUAAUCAUCUGGAGCCUCUUCUCCUUCAGAUGUUGCAUCCCUCUCUUUUUUGUUCGCCUAAUUAUACAGUGCAUUCGCUCAGCUCCAUGCUAACUGCCUGUCUUACGUUGGCUGUAAUGGACCGGAGGAACAAAUAAACGCUAGAAUUAGUCGAGUUUGUUAGAUAGGCUUUCCGGUGUAGCUUUUAACGGGGUCAUUUUGGACUUCACAAUUGAGGACCUCCCGUUGUGUGUGUUUGACUUUCAUGACACGGUUUCCUCUGGGUGUUGGCGCAUGUGCGCGCGUAAACUAGGGUUUCUCGAACUUGUUCAGCUCAUUACCAUAACAUUAUACAUUAGCUUACCAUAAGUUUACAUAGAGUAAAAUAGAUAUCGUGACAUAAAAAGUACCACUCCCUCGUUUUCUUUUAAACAAGUCAUUCCAUGUAAGUGUCCCUGUUUUGAAAUAAAGUCACACCUACAACUC
Molecule: long non-coding RNA, 1464 nt
Organism: Hippocampus comes (tiger tail seahorse)
Lineage: Eukaryota; Metazoa; Chordata; Actinopteri; Syngnathiformes; Syngnathidae
Exons: 4
Source: RefSeq, a predicted model, not a curated record